UUUCCGUAGGUGAACCUGCGGAAGGAUCAUUACCGAGUUAGGGUGCUGCUCACAGCGCCCGACCUCCCAACCCUUUGUCUAUGUUACCAUACAGUUGCUUCGGCGUGCCGAGGGGUCAGACCCUCGCCGGACUUUCGGUCGGGAGCGCGCACGCCGAUGGCCACACCAAAACUAUUGAACCCAAACCAUGUCGUCUGAAAACUUGUGAUUACGAUUAAUCAAAAACAAAACUUUCAACAACGUAUCUCUUGGUUCUGGCAUCGGGAAGAACGCAGC
This 276-nucleotide unclassified non-coding RNA is filed under the name uncultured fungus. RNAcentral's name for it is "sequence contains ITS1, 5.8S rRNA gene". The record is from RNAcentral. Lineage: Eukaryota; Fungi.